GCGGGGGUGCCCGAGCUGGUCAAAGGGGGCGGACUCAAGACCCUUUAGUAAGACCCUUUAGUAAGAGAUCCGCUGGCGAAGGCCUUCGCGGGUUCAAAUCCCGUCCCCCGCA
RNAcentral lists this transfer RNA (112 nucleotides) under Saccharolobus islandicus REY15A. RNAcentral's name for it is "Sulfolobus islandicus REY15A tRNA-Leu". It matches the Rfam family "tRNA". Rfam says of the family: Transfer RNA (tRNA) molecules are approximately 80 nucleotides in length. Their secondary structure includes four short double-helical elements and three loops (D, anti-codon, and T loops). The record is from RNAcentral. Lineage: Archaea; Thermoproteati; Thermoproteota; Thermoprotei; Sulfolobales; Sulfolobaceae.